Molecule: ribosomal RNA, 520 nt
Filed under: uncultured Glomus
Lineage: Eukaryota; Fungi; Glomeromycota; Glomeromycetes; Glomerales; Glomeraceae
Description: SSU rRNA
Rfam family: Eukaryotic small subunit ribosomal RNA
Source: RNAcentral
AGCAGCCGCGGUAAUUCCAGCUCCAAUAGCGUAUAUUAAAGUUGUUGCAGUUAAAAAGCUCGUAGUUGAAUUUCGGGAUCAAUACGUCGGUCGUGCUUCGGUACGUACUGGCGUAAUUGAUUUCUCCCUUCUGACGAGCCAUGAUGUCAUUAACUUGGUGUCAUGGGAAAUCAGGACUGUUACUUUGAAAAAAUUAGAGUGUUUAAAGCAGGCUCACGCUUGAAUACAUUAGUAUGGAAUAAUGAAAUAGGACGUUCGAUCCUAUUUUUGUUGGUUUUUAGGAUCAACGUAAUGAUUAAUAGGGAUAGUUGGGGGCAUUAGUAUUCAAUUGUCAGAGGUGAAAUUCUUGGAUUUAUUGAAGACUAACUACUGCGAAAGCAUUUGCCAAGGAUGUUUUCAUUAAUCAAGAACGAAAGUUAGGGGAUCGAGGACGAUCAGAUACCGUCGUAGUCUUAACCAUAAACUAUGCCGACUAGGGAUCGGAUGAUGUUAAUUUUUUAAUGACUCAUUCGGCGCCUUA